AGACAGCUACAGUGUACUCACGAUACAGUGUACUCACAUAGGUAAAAUAAAUAAAAAAUCUUACCAUAUGCCCUACAGGCUACAGGAGCCUUGGGUGAUCCUAUGAUUCUGCAGAGGGCUCUGGUCUUUAGAGUCUAAGGAUCUGUCUUACCUCUGGGAUUCAUUAGCUUGAGACUUGUAUAACCCAACUGUCUGGGCAUCAGUGUUCCCAUAUAUGAAACAAAAGGCCAACACAUCUUCAAGUUCUUUCCUAAUUUUAUCCUGGGUGUGAUAUUGUUUGAUGAUCUUGCUUGUUUAUCCUUGGGGCCAGUUUACCCCAACAAUGAGCUAAUUCUUUCCUCCCCUUAGGCCCACAGUGCAUGUUCUGAGGAGCAGCCCUGGAAGCUACUGCGAUAAUGGAACAGUGGAGUAGAUAGUCCAUUAUAACUCAUCUGUGAUUCUUCUCAAAUUUAAGUGACUACAGAUGUUUCCCAGUCUCCUUGCUGUGCAUGAACAGACUGAAACUGAAUCCAGAAAAGUGAAGUGACGUGUAUUGAGUCACACAGCUCUCGCCACAAUGGAACUUCAGGCACAUAACCCAAGUCCUGCUGAGCUGUCCUGUAGUGCUGUCACUCCACAGCACAUGGUCAUUCGGAGUAAACUGAGAUAUUUUUACUGAGACAGGAAUUUUGCCAGCCAUUCAUGGGGAAUCAGGAAGAGGUAAUAACUCUUUAUACUCAAAAUGUGGCCCAUUUGAAGAACCACAGAUCCCUUUGCCCUGAUGUCCCAUCCCAGUUAAUGGAUCUACCUUGUAAUUCUCAAACUCAAUAAAACCAGAAAGUUGCUUC
This 827-nucleotide long non-coding RNA is filed under the name Rattus norvegicus (Norway rat). Its description in RNAcentral is "long non-coding RNA NONRATT020670". The record is from RNAcentral. Lineage: Eukaryota; Metazoa; Chordata; Mammalia; Rodentia; Muridae.